Molecule: ribosomal RNA, 460 nt
Filed under: uncultured bacterium
Lineage: Bacteria
Description: partial 16S ribosomal RNA
Rfam family: Bacterial small subunit ribosomal RNA
Source: RNAcentral
CCUACGGGAGGCUGCAGUGAGGAAUAUUGGUCAAUGGCCGGAAGGCUGAACCAGCCAUGCCGCGUGAAGGUCAGUGCCCUAUGGGCGUUAAACUUCUUUUGUGCGGGAGCAAUAAUGGUCACGUGUGGCCAGACGAGAGUACCGUACGAAUAAGCAUCGGCUAAAACCGUGCCAGCAGCCGCGGUCAUACGGGGGAUGCAAGCGUUAUCCCGAUUUAUUGGGCUUUAAGGGUGCGUAGGCUGUGAGGUAAGUCAGCGGUGAAAUGCCCCCGCUCAACGGGGUGAAGUGCCAUUGAUACUGCCGUGCUGGAAUGCGGAUGCAGUGGGAGGAAUGUGUGGUGUAGCGGUGAAAUGCAUAGAUAUCACACAGAACACCGAUUGCGAAGGCAUCUUACGAAUCCGCGAUUGACGCUGAUGCACGAAAGCGUGGGUAUCAAACAGGAUUAGAUACCCCAGUAGUC